CCACAACCCAUUGUUCAAGAGGACUAGACUGGGAAACACAAGCAAAAGAAUUAGCAGCAACAAAAGUAUCAGUCUGAGCAACAGAGGCUACUUGUGAUGUUUGCUUACUUGCUCGAUAUUUAAGGAACUCAUUAUACUCUCCUUCAGAUACAAAAAUCCCUGGUUACCUAUAGUCUCGGUCUGAGCAACAUACGCAUUUUUUUGUGGUCGACCAUGUAAAGAAUAGCACACGUCACGAGUGUGACCAAGUUUAUGACAAUAAGAAC
This 266-nucleotide long non-coding RNA is filed under the name Nicotiana benthamiana. RNAcentral describes it as "long non-coding RNA (NBEN_LNC001460)". The record is from RNAcentral. Lineage: Eukaryota; Viridiplantae; Streptophyta; Magnoliopsida; Solanales; Solanaceae.